UACGAACCGUGCAAACGUUGUUCGGAUUCACUGGGCUUAAAGGGCGCGUAGGCGGGUGGUCAAGUCAGGGGUGAAAUCUUUCAGCUCAACUGGAAAACAGCUUCUGAUACUGGCCAUCUUGAGGGAGGUAGGGGCAUGUGGAACUUCCGGUGGAGCGGUGAAAUGCGUAGAUAUCGGAAGGAACGCCGGUGGCGAAAGCGACGUGCUGGACCUUUUCUGACGCUGAGGCGCGAAAGCCAGGGGAGCAAACGGG
RNAcentral lists this ribosomal RNA (253 nucleotides) under uncultured bacterium. RNAcentral describes it as "partial 16S ribosomal RNA". It matches the Rfam family "Bacterial small subunit ribosomal RNA", at positions 524 to 776 of the family's 1533-position model. The record is from RNAcentral.